GGAAUAUUGGACAAUGGGCGGAAGCCUGAUCCAGCAACGCCGCGUGAGGGAUGACUGCCUUCGGGUUGUAACCCUCUUUCGGUGGGGACCAAGCGCAAGUGACGGUACCCACUAAAGAAGCACCGGCCACAUAAGUGCCAGCAGCCGCGGUAAUACGUAGGGUGCGAGCGUUGUCCGGAAUUAUUGGGAGUAAAGGGCUCGUAGGCGGUUUGUCGCGUCGGGAGUGAAAACGCCGUGCUUAACACGGCGCUUGCUUUCGAUACGGGCAGACUAGAGGUAUUCAGGGGAGAACGGAAUUCCUGGUGUAGCGGUGAAAUGCGCAGAUAUCAGGAGGAACACCGGUGGCGAAGGCGGUUCUCUGGGAAUGACCUGACGCUGAGGAGCGAAAGUGUGGGGAGCGAAC
Molecule: ribosomal RNA, 403 nt
Filed under: uncultured bacterium
Lineage: Bacteria
Description: bacterial SSU rRNA
Rfam family: Bacterial small subunit ribosomal RNA
Source: RNAcentral